CCAGACUUGUCGGCCUCCCUCUAGUUGUACCUCGUUGGAUACGAAUCCCUUGAGUAAUUAUCCAAGUUCAUCUACAGUGGUGAGUUCUUGGUAAGGUUACGCUUUUAUUAUUAUUUGCUUGCGGUAUUAUCGUCUGUUCUUGUAGUAAUAGAUACUCUAAGACAGAGAUCUGGCCGAAGCUAGAGUAGUAAUAGAUAGCAUAGACGUGGUGUCUAGGCUAUAGGUUGCCUUUGUUUGCCUCGUUCCCCAUGGUCUAAGGGGUAGGUAGCAGGUGGGGACAACCCUGUCCAUCCUUUUGUAUUCCUCCACAUUCGGGUUCAACUAGAGCUAAUAGCCGGAGCCGCCUGGCAGACUAGGUGUUGACCGGUGCCCAAAGUAGAUGCUUAGUAACAAAGUUUAUCCUUGCAAGAAUCUUUAUCCUAACACAACCACUCUACCCAGACCAUUCUAUCUCUUUUUCUUUGGGCAAACCAGUUAGAAAACUUUUACACUCCCAUUCCCUUAGAAAAUACAAUACCC
This 519-nucleotide long non-coding RNA is filed under the name Setaria viridis. Its description in RNAcentral is "long non-coding RNA (SVIR_LNC011007)". The record is from RNAcentral. Lineage: Eukaryota; Viridiplantae; Streptophyta; Magnoliopsida; Poales; Poaceae.